UUAACUAUUAUAUAGUACUCAGACGACAUUAAUAAACAGAGUUUGUGGUCCUCUGGCGAGCACACACCAGCGCAGGGCCGGUGGCCGAAGCGGCUCGCCAAAGCAACAAAGGUUUUAAUAACAUAGGGUUGGAGAGUCACCCGUGAGGGCGAUGUUCUCUGUAAUGAUCCCUCCGCAGGUUCACCUACGGAGA
This 193-nucleotide unclassified non-coding RNA is filed under the name uncultured fungus. RNAcentral describes it as "sequence contains ITS1". The record is from RNAcentral. Lineage: Eukaryota; Fungi.